GAUUUCUGGCUUGAAACACUAAGCCGGCCACGGUUUCGUGUGUUAGUGCUUGGUGUUCUGGCCAUCCUUCCAAUCGCCAUCUACUUCUCUUCAUUGAUUAGUAGGUGGUAUUGGAUCUUUUACUUUGAAAAAAUUAGAGUGUUUCAAGCAGGCUAUUGCUAUGAAUACAUUAGCAUGGAAUAAUAAUUUAGGACUUCGGUUCUAUUUUGUUGGUUUCUAGGACUGAAGUAAUGAUUGAUAGGGAUAGUUGGGGGUGCUAGUAUUCAGCGGCCAGAGGUGAAAUUCUUGGAUUCGCUGAAGACUAACUUAUGCGAAAGCAUU
Molecule: ribosomal RNA, 321 nt
Filed under: uncultured Sandonidae
Lineage: Eukaryota; Cercozoa; Glissomonadida; Viridiraptoridae
Description: SSU rRNA
Rfam family: Eukaryotic small subunit ribosomal RNA
Source: RNAcentral